Solanum lycopersicum (tomato) is the source of this 1079-nucleotide long non-coding RNA. RefSeq lists it as uncharacterized. The record is from RefSeq and is a predicted model, not a curated record. NCBI's taxonomy places the organism in Eukaryota, Viridiplantae, Streptophyta, Magnoliopsida, Solanales, Solanaceae.
CCAGCGCUCGGGAGAUAUGCUCACAAUCAUUCUUCCGGGUGAGAAACGAGAUAAACGAGAAUAUUGAAGUGAUGAACCAGAUGAUUGGUCCCUAUUCCAGAUCUAUCCGAACGCUUGACAACGUUGUGAAUUAUUAAUUACCUCAUCUAUAUCCAAUCUGUCAAUUAGGGUUACCUAGUACUACUAGGGACAACCCCAAUAAGGGAUAGUAAGGAGAUACAUUGUGCCACAACACUAACUAAGGCACUGUUUGGGAGGCAACCCGAAAACCUUUUUAUUACAUUUUGUCUGUUUAAAAAUAAUGGUGUGUUUGUUGUGCAGGCUAAAAUGUGGCAAGUGUGAGGAACAAAGGAGUUUAGUAAAGAAACAAGUUAUAGUCGGUUUAUCACUGAAGAUGUCAGCGACCCCGAUAUAGACCACCAUUGGACUCAAGACAUGAUUAAGCUAGAGUCUGUAAUACUCGGUAUUUAAAGUUGGAGAUAGUGGUAUGGACAUAAUCGAGAAAAAAGGAAUGAAGGUUUUUAAAAGAUCGAAGAAGUGAAGGCCUGAGAAUUUGACGGACACCAUCAACAAUUUUUGAAAGGGUCAUAUCCUCGCCUAAUUACUAGUGAUCUAAGACAUGAAGGAAAUGAUCAAAUCUGUAUUGAAGAGGAGCAGUCAGUGUAACAAUGAAAAGCUCCUAAAAAAUACUAUGUCUCCCAAUGAUCUAAAACGCAAAAAUGCUUAAGACUAACGCAGGAUGGCGAUGACUAUACCAAAGGGAGGACUGUGGAAUUUAUCGGCGAUCCUAACUAACUGAGUGUUCCUUCACAACAGAGCCUAACUAACUGAGUGUUCCUUCACAACAGAGUAUUUGAAAACUAUAAAUACUUGGUAAUAUUGGUAUCUUAGAAUCGAAUUUUGUAGUUUUGAAGAGUAAUUUCAAACUUACCUUCUAUUUUCAAAGAUUUUGGGAGACUUUGAUCUUGAACCUUGGAGAUUUGAAGAUUCCCAACUUGAAGAAAUUCAAAGUGGGUGUUGGAAAUUCUUCAUUGUAGACUUAAUUGAAGUGAAUAUAAAAUUACAUCUAGUUGAUGUUA